This 493-nucleotide ribosomal RNA is filed under the name uncultured bacterium. RNAcentral's name for it is "bacterial SSU rRNA". It matches the Rfam family "Bacterial small subunit ribosomal RNA", at positions 1 to 526 of the family's 1533-position model. The record is from RNAcentral.
ACUAGCAGUAAGAAGUUGUAUCAUGGCGUCAGAACGAACGCUGGCGGCGCGCCUAACACAUGCAAGUCGGACACACGGGGUCCUUCGGGGCGCCAUGAGUGGCGGACGGGUGAGUAACACGUGGGAACCUGCCCUGGGGUCCGGGAUAGCUGCGGGAAACUGCAGGUAACACCGGAUACGCACGGGAGUGGAAAAUUCAUGCCCUGGGAUGGGCCCGCGUCGGAUUAGGUAGACGGUGGGGUAGUGGCCUACCGUGCCUGCGAUCCGUAGCCGGUCUGAGAGGACGAUCGGCCACACUGGGACUGAGACACGGCCCAGACUCCUACGGGAGGCAGCAGUCGGGAAUUUUGCCCAAUGGACGAAAGUCUGAGGCAGCAACUCCGCGUGAGGGAUGAAGGCUCUCGGGUCGUAAACCUCUUUUCUCAGGGAAGAUUCAAGACGGUACCUGAGGAAUAAGCCACGGCUAACUACGUGCCAGCCGCCGCGGUAAUUC